GGCCAUACCACCCUCAACGCGCCCGAUCUCUUCUGAUCUCGGAAGCUAAGCAGGGUCGGGCCUGGUUAGUACUUGGAUGGCAGAGAAGAGAAUCUAGAAAAAUAAGCCC
Molecule: ribosomal RNA, 109 nt
Filed under: Neogale vison (American mink)
Lineage: Eukaryota; Metazoa; Chordata; Mammalia; Carnivora; Mustelidae
Source: RNAcentral